Molecule: ribosomal RNA, 360 nt
Filed under: uncultured bacterium
Lineage: Bacteria
Description: partial 16S ribosomal RNA
Rfam family: Bacterial small subunit ribosomal RNA
Source: RNAcentral
CCUACGGGUGGCAGCAGUAGGGAAUCUUCCACAAUGGGCGAAAGCCUGAUGGAGCAACGCCGCGUGGGUGAAGAAGGUCUUCGGAUCAUAAAACCCUGUUGUUAGAGAAGUAAGUUCGUGCGAGUAACUGUUCACGUUUCUACGGUAUCUAACCAGAAAGCCACGGCUAACUACGUGCCAGCAGCCGCGGUGAUACGUAGGUGGCAAGCGUUAUCCGGAUUUAUUGGCGUAAAGGGAACGCAGGCGGUCUUUUAAGUCUGAUGUGAAAGCCUUCGGCUUAACCGGAAUAGUGCAUUGGAAACUGGGAGACUGGAGUGCAGAAGAGGAGAGGGGAACUCCAUGUGUAGCGGUGAAAUGCGU